This is a long non-coding RNA of Uranotaenia lowii, 304 nucleotides long. RefSeq lists it as uncharacterized. Lineage: Eukaryota; Metazoa; Arthropoda; Insecta; Diptera; Culicidae. The record is from RefSeq and is a predicted model, not a curated record. The transcript is spliced from 3 exons.
AAUCGAUUCUUCGGUUGAGAAACAAAGGCAGUAAAACAUAAAGAUGCGUACAUUUUUGCUAAUCACGGCUUGUCUCUCGGUGCUGUCCAUCCUAUUUGGAAGCGCUCAAGGAACAUCUGAGGCCAAAACCGUUGCUGGAACCGCUCCUCGAGUUCCUACCAUUCCCAACGUUUUGAACAAGAGAGGUCCCAAAAAGGCUCGUUCAGCCCCACUGGCAUAUUGGUAAUAUUUAAGUGAUUUGGUUACAGAUUUUUCGUCUACAGAAUGUUUCAAAAAAUAAAAUAAAACAAACCAAUGCAAGUUA